Girardinichthys multiradiatus is the source of this 1395-nucleotide long non-coding RNA. RefSeq lists it as uncharacterized. NCBI's taxonomy places the organism in Eukaryota, Metazoa, Chordata, Actinopteri, Cyprinodontiformes, Goodeidae. The transcript has 2 exons. The record is from RefSeq and is a predicted model, not a curated record.
UUCCACAUUUAAGAGCAGGUUGCACAUUUAAGGGCAGGUUCCACAUUUAAGGGCAGGUUCCACAUUUAAGAGCAGGUUGCACAUUUAAGGACAGGUUCCACAUUUAAGGGCAGGUUCCAUAUUUAAGAGCAGGUUGCACAUUUAAGGGCAGGUUCCACAUUUAAGAGCAGGUUGCACAUUUAAGGGCAGGUUCCACAUUUAAGGACAAGUUCCACAUUUAAGGGCAGGUUCCAUAUUUAAGGACAGGUUCCACAUUUAUGGUCAGGUUCCACAUUUGAGGGCAGGUUCCACAUUUAAGGUCAGGUUCCAUAUUUAAGAGCAGGUUGCACAUUUAAGGGCAGGUUCCAUAUUUAAGAGCAGGUUGCACAUUUAAGGGCAGGUUCCACAUUUAAGAGCAGGUUCCACAUUUAUGGUCAGGUUGCACAUUUAAGGGCAGGUUCCACAUUUAUGGUCAGGUUCCACAUUUGAGGGCAGGUUCCACAUUUAAGGUCAGGUUCCAUAUUUAAGAGCAGGUUGCACAUUUAAGGGCAGGUUCCAUAUUUAAGAGCAGGUUGCACAUUUAAGGACAGGUUCCACAUUUAAGGGCAGGUUCCAUAUUUAAGAGCAGGUUGCACAUUUAAGGGCAGGUUCCACAUUUAAGAGCAGGUUGCACAUUUAAGGGCAGGUUCCACAUUUAAGGACAGGUUCCACAUUUAUGGUCAGGUUCCACAUUUGAGGGCAGGUUCCACAUUUAAGGUCAGGUUCCAUAUUUAAGAGCAGGUUGCACAUUUAAGGGCAGGUUCCAUAUUUAAGAGCAGGUUGCACAUUUGAGGGCAGGUUCCACAUUUAAGAGCAGGUUCCACAUUUAUGGUCAGGUUGCACAUUUAAGGGCAGGUUCCACAUUUGAGGGCAGGUUCCACAUUUAAGGUUAGGUUCCAUAUUUAAGAGCAGGUUGCACAUUUAAGGCCAGGUUCCAUAUUUAAGAGCAGGUUGCACAUUUAAGGGCAAGUUCCAUAUUUAAGAGCAGGUUGCACAUUUAAGGGCAGGUUCCAUAUUUAAGAGCAGGUUCCACAUUUAAGGGCAGGUUCCAUAUUUAAGAGCAGGUUCCACAUUUGAGGGCAGGUUCCACAUUUAAGGUUAGGUUCCAUAUUUAAGAGCAGGUUGCACAUUUAAGGGCAGGUUCCAUAUUUAAGAGCAGGUUGCACAUUUAAGGGCAGGUUCCACAUUUAAGGACAGGUUCCACAUUUAAGGACAGGUUCCACAUUUGAGGGCAGGUUCCACAUUUAAGGUCAGGUUCCAUAUUUAAGAGCAGGUUGCACAUUUAAGGGCAGGUUCCAUAUUUAAGAGCAGGUUGCACAUUUAAGGGCAGGUUCCACAUUUAAGAGCAGGUUGCACAUUUAAGGGCAGGUUCCACAU